This is a long non-coding RNA of Oreochromis aureus, 307 nucleotides long. The record is from Ensembl. Lineage: Eukaryota; Metazoa; Chordata; Actinopteri; Cichliformes; Cichlidae.
UCUCUCUCUCUCUCUCUCUCUCUCACACACACACACACACACACACACAGCAGCAUCAGCAAGUGAACAGGGGCUGUUAACAGCAUGUUUCUAGGUCAGUCAAGCAGCCUGGGAGCUGCUAAAUUUGAAUCCACCAAUCAGAGAGGCUGUGUACUUUUUCCCGCCAAAACAGGUGCACCUGUUUUUACACACACGCAGCACAGAGACAGGAUUUGUGCUGUCUAUUUUUCAUAGUGAGGAUUCCCCUCAAACAAAUGGCUAUAAUUUCCUAACCGUAGGGGCUAGAACAGUCAUUCUUACACCGUUU